AUCAUUACAUGUCGUCCGUUGCUUACGAGUUCGUGCGUCUUGUUAUUUCCUUGUGUUUUCGAUUUUCCGUGCUUUCCGACUGCUUUUGUUUAUUGACUCUGAGAUUCCUCUCCUCCCUGUGUGACUACUGCUUGCCAAAGGACACUGAUCAUCUGCCUUAACGAAGACUACUUGCUGUGUUUUAUGGACUACGAUUCUUUGUGUUUUGGAUUUUGUUGUGCACGAUUCGUUGUUGUUUGCUAUGGGUAGUCGUAUGAAGCCUACGCGCAUCAUGUGCGUUAAUUGCCGCCUAUGUGUCAAUAAAUUGCGUCGAUACACUGCAUUGGCACUUGACACGAGGGUCACUGCUAUUAUAUGCAGCUGGGUUUAUCCUCAAAUUAUUCUGGAAGAUGACUAUGUGUGUGAGCCUUGCAGAGAUCUUGCAAUAGCUGCAGUAAA
Melitaea cinxia (Glanville fritillary) is the source of this 438-nucleotide long non-coding RNA. RefSeq lists it as uncharacterized. The record is from RefSeq and is a predicted model, not a curated record. The transcript is spliced from 2 exons. NCBI's taxonomy places the organism in Eukaryota, Metazoa, Arthropoda, Insecta, Lepidoptera, Nymphalidae.